Long non-coding RNA from Scylla paramamosain (green mud crab), 329 nucleotides. RefSeq lists it as uncharacterized. The record is from RefSeq and is a predicted model, not a curated record. The transcript has 3 exons. NCBI's taxonomy places the organism in Eukaryota, Metazoa, Arthropoda, Malacostraca, Decapoda, Portunidae.
UGAUGCGUCACUGAUUUAUGUGAAUGCAGUGCAGCAAUGCAUAUCACUGACGACUGAUGAAGGCAAGAUGUGGCUCCACCGCAAUAAGCAGAAAAACGCAAGCAGCUCGUGGUGGACAAGUUAAUGAAAAACACUCCAACACCAUUGACAAUAAUGGUAUAGUGGAUUCAACAAAAGACGUCUGGCGAGGUGGCUUGACUAGCUUCCUAGCAGCAGAUGCCUCGUUCCCUGAGCGUGUCCCUGUGGGUGGCUAUAGCAGAAAAGCCUACAUAUUCCCCUGUCCUAAUAUUCCCUUCUUGCUUGUCCAAGCACUUGGGCUCAAACACCUU